CAGCAUGUGGUUGCUGCAAAGCCAGGGGCGGUAGCGUG
This is a regulatory RNA element of 38 nucleotides. It matches the Rfam family "JUMPstart RNA". The record is from Rfam.